CUGACAGCACCAGGAAAUGAAUUCCUCUAUUUAGUCACAGAACAGGUAUAGAACACAAGUUUCUCCACUCUGCCUUGACUAUGUGUCUCAGUCCUGACCUGUAGAGGAUACCACUAAGAGUGAAAGGGUGGUUCAUUCUGUAUGCCUAUUCAAUCUUUAGCCCCU
Unclassified non-coding RNA from Chelonoidis abingdonii (Abingdon island giant tortoise), 165 nucleotides. Lineage: Eukaryota; Metazoa; Chordata; Testudines; Testudinidae. The record is from Ensembl.